Molecule: long non-coding RNA, 660 nt
Filed under: Scleropages formosus (Asian bonytongue)
Lineage: Eukaryota; Metazoa; Chordata; Actinopteri; Osteoglossiformes; Osteoglossidae
Description: lncRNA (ENSSFOG00015031553.1)
Source: RNAcentral
UGAGCACUGCGCAGACUUUUCACAAAGCUGCCACAGCUCCAGCCUUGCGGGUGGAGUACUGAUGGAAGAGGAGCCCAGCUCCAUGCCAGCUGUGCCCGCGGCACUGCCUUUUCUGAGUCUCCUCGCCACGCAAAAUAACCAGCUCCGAGGACAAUAUGGUGCCAUGCCUGCCUUCCUCCUGGACCCAAGAGACAGCACCUCAGCCACCCAAGGACAAGUUUAUUUACAUUGCUUUCAUUCCCCAAUGGAUGGGGAAAAGGAGCAAGACUCCCUGUGGUGUCAGAGAAGAUUUGUGUGUAUUUAAAGAACAGCUUGGCUCAAAGCAGGCCUGAGUCUUCCACUGGCCUGGAAGAGUGCUGACAAAUGGAUAGGUGAGACAGUGCCCAACUCCCAGCCCAUUUUCAAACCAUUUAGAUCUUUGUGCAUUGGAGGGGAAACACUGGCCUCUUGUUACAGACACCCCUACCUCCCAGCAGUCGGCCUGAUUGGGCAAGACCUUACCUGCCACCGCUUGCAUACACCAUGGUUGCUCAUUCUGCAGUUCUAUGUUUUUCAGUGUUAGUGGCAAUGGGAACCAUAAUGAAAAGUCUCAAAAUGCACAGAAUGAUUCCUUGAGAGGUAGAAGCUUCAUUUUGCCUUGCUCCUCCAACCCCUAACAGC